This 510-nucleotide ribosomal RNA is filed under the name uncultured bacterium. RNAcentral describes it as "partial 16S ribosomal RNA". It matches the Rfam family "Bacterial small subunit ribosomal RNA", at positions 28 to 507 of the family's 1533-position model. The record is from RNAcentral.
GACGAACGCUGGCGGCGUGCUUAACACAUGCAAGUCGAACGAAGAGCGAUGGAAGCUUGCUCCUAUCAAUCUUAGUGGCGAACGGGUGAGUAACGCGUAAUCAACCUGCCCUUCAGAGGGGGACAACAGUUGGAAACGACUGCUAAUACCGCAUACGAUCUAAUCUCGGCAUCGAGGAUAGAUGAAAGGUGGCCUCUACAUGUAAGCUAUCACUGAAGGAGGGGAUUGCGUCUGAUUAGCUAGUUGGAGGGGUAACGGCCCACCAAGGCGAUGAUCAGUAGCCGGUCUGAGAGGAUGAACGGCCACAUUGGGACUGAGACACGGCCCAGACUCCUACGGGAGGCAGCAGUGGGGAAUCUUCCGCAAUGGACGAAAGUCUGACGGAGCAACGCCGCGUGAGUGAUGACGGCCUUCGGGUUGUAAAGCUCUGUUAAUCGGGACGAAAGGCCUUCUUGCGAAUAGUGAGAAGGAUUGACGGUACCGGAAUAGAAAGCCACGGCUAACUACGUG